This 253-nucleotide ribosomal RNA is filed under the name uncultured bacterium. RNAcentral's name for it is "partial 16S ribosomal RNA". It matches the Rfam family "Bacterial small subunit ribosomal RNA", at positions 524 to 776 of the family's 1533-position model. The record is from RNAcentral.
UACGAAGGGGGCUAGCGUUGUUCGGAAUUACUGGGCGUAAAGCGCACGUAGGCGGACUGUUAAGUCAGGGGUGAAAUCCUGGAGCUCAACUCCAGAACUGCCUUUGAUACUGAUGGUCUCGAGUCCGGAAGAGGUGAGUGGAAUUCCGAGUGUAGAGGUGAAAUUCGUAGAUAUUCGGAGGAACACCAGUGUCGAAGGCGGCUCACUGGUCCGGUACUGACGCUGAGGUGCGAAAGCGUGGGGAGCAAACAGG